UGGGGAAUAUUGCACAAUGGGGGAAACCCUGAUGCAGCGACGCCGCGUGAACGAAGAAGGUAUUCGUAUCGUAAAGUUCUGUCCUAUGGGAAGAUAAUGACAGUACCAUAGAAGAAAGCUCCGGCUAAAUACGUGCCAGCAUCCGCGGUAAUACGUAUGGAGCGAGCGUUGUCCGGAAUUAUUGGGCGUAAAGGGUACGCAGGCGGUUUAAUAAGUCGAAUGUUAAAGAUCGGGGCUCAACCCCGCAAAGCAUUGGAAACUGAUAAACUUGAGUAGUGGAGAGGAAAGUGGAAUUCCUAGUGUAGUGGUGAAAUACGUAGAUAUUAGGAGGAAUACCAGUAGCGAAGGCGACUUUCUGGACACAAACUGACGCUGAGGUACGAAAGCGUGGGGAGCAAACAGG
Molecule: ribosomal RNA, 403 nt
Filed under: bacterium
Lineage: Bacteria
Description: partial 16S ribosomal RNA
Rfam family: Bacterial small subunit ribosomal RNA
Source: RNAcentral